RNAcentral lists this ribosomal RNA (1297 nucleotides) under Triticum aestivum (bread wheat). Its description in RNAcentral is "partial small subunit ribosomal RNA". The record is from RNAcentral. Lineage: Eukaryota; Viridiplantae; Streptophyta; Magnoliopsida; Poales; Poaceae.
UUAAAGAACCCGAACCAGGAGCGCCGGGGAAGGGUUCUUUACACGGGUAAUAGGAAUGUGGCCGGAACGAGGUCUGCGAAGGAUACAACAGCUUGAGGCUUUGGGAUUGGUCUGAGCAGAAUAUCUUUCUCUUGCGGCUGUGACCAGCGGUGGUAGGUCUAGGUCCAGGAAGGAGCAAUAGAAAGUGGUACGGAAGUCGUCGAAGGGCUGAGCACGCCUAGCCGGCACGGCGAGCGAGUCGACGCCGCUGGUGUAGAGCGAAGCGGGUUAAGCAACUUCGUCGCUGGGAGAGGUGCUUCCGCCACCGCUGGUUUGGAGUGCGAUAGAAUCCAAGUCUAGCACGGCGGAGGCAUCUAGACGCAUACUUGGUUAGGUGACAGGUACGAGGAGGUGCGCGGUACCGUGGACGGAGGGACUGUGAGUCAGUGGGUCUUCUUGUUUCCGUCCUUCCAUUCCACUUCAAACACCAUCUCCUCUUUCUGGAACUCAGUCUUCGUCGGGAAACCCGGAACAUACUCGCGACCACGUUUCUAAAGUUGGUUUUCGCACUAGUACUACUCUACCAAGUGACCAAGUUGUGUAAGUUCCUCUGACAGGACGAACAGGUGGCAGCCUUGUUACGAUUAGACGGGAUGUUUAACCCUUAUUUGUUUAAGCGCCUACCCUUCGAUUCCUUCGAGACAACGACAGUACUAGGAUAAGAAUUUUUCUAACUACUCCUCAAACCGCUGUUUGGUCCACUUAAAUAAGAUCCACUACCACUGUUUGAAGAGUUCGCUCAGAAGCGACUAAUAUUCCACCAAGUACCGUCUGACAUACAAGUAAAUGGUUUCCCUCAACUACACCUUUGGUAGUGGUGGUUAGGACUUACCCAGCUCGACCUUCGCUGGUGGUUGGGAGGUAUGGCUAUGGGAUGAAUGUAGAUCACCACGAUAGUAAUGACGAUGAUUCGACACGAAGACGGUUGCCAACGUAUGAUCCUGAACCUACAACAGGAAGAACGAUUAUUUUGUAUGAGGAAGGCAGGCCUUUAUGAACAGUAGCUUUACCUAUUUUCUCUACAUAGAUCUGCAUAAAAUCAAGAUCUAUGUAGAGAAAACUAGGUAAAACUACUGUUCAUAAAAUCCUGCCUCCCGCAUACGUAUUAUUCGAUUGGUACUCGUAUACUCCUAAUGCAAUUACGAAAACAUUCUAUAAAAUUUGAAACUGAUUCCACAACAUUAUUAAGGUCUAAGUAGCAAUACACGAGUAAUCAGUCCAAAAAAGGAGAGUAUGGAGUAACUCAUGUCUCGAACCC